AAUAAUGAAGAUUAUUUUUUUUAGGAAAACAGGAGGGUGCGAGCCCCUAGUGUGCUUUUAUUAGAAGAGUAUAAAAGUUUACAACAAACAUCAUGAUACAAAAAAGGUUACAAAGAAGACCAAAUCAAUUACACAUGAUUCUAGCCAUUGACUAAUAAAAGGUUCAUAAUUCUUCUUUGCUCGAAGGAUAACUUUUAAGUGCCUUCUUGCAUUUUGAAUGGUCGGCUGAAUAUGCCUUAAGAUCGCAUCAUUUCUAACCGACGAGAUGGUCCAACACAUGGAAAGGAAUGGCUGACUGAUUUUCUGAAAGAGGUGAUUGUUUGAAAGGGAUUGGUAGAGUCUUCAAUGGUUAAACCCAAAGUGGCCCAACAGUCCACUGCAAAGAACAUUAUUACAUUAGCAUUAGUCACCAAUGAAAAGAUCCUCUCUCGUCUCCUUCGGUGCGCGUUGAAGUCAAAAUCUUUGGAGAAAAAAAACUGAUGAUCCCAAGAUGGAGACGAGAGAUAUAUGGUGACCCAAUUUGAUCCCCAGUAAAUACCAACCGAAGCUAUUUCCUACCUGCUCUCCUAUCUCCUUCCGCUCCUCACACAGCAGGCUUGAUUUUUUCCCCCCAAGAAGAUGGAGACUGCCAUCUCUGCAGUGAUUGGCGAGGUCGUGAGCCAGUUCAUCUCCUUCCUUAUGAGCAAAUACUCCAACAACGCAGCCUCAGAGGAGCAAAAGAUGGGGAGACUGCAGCAUCUGCUCCUGAGGGUUCGGACAGUCGUCGAGGAGGCAGACGGGCGGCACAUCACCAACUCAGGGAUGGUGGAACAGCUUCAGGUGCUCGCAGACGCCAUGUACCGAGGCUACCGCCUGCUCGACAGCUUCAGCUGUGGAGGAAGGCCUAAUAAUCCUUUGAUGAUGGAGGAGGUUAAGGUUAGCAACACAUCUGCCUCCUUGUCUUUGCAAAGCCCUCGUCCCAAACGUUGCCGUACGAUUACCCUUGGAAGGAAGGGCAAGGCCGUUAUUGACCUUGAUCAGUCGUCGUUGGAUGAAACACUGGACAGGUUAGAAACUGCUGCUGCUCACAUGGCAGAAUUUGUUGUGCUUUUGGGUGGCUGUGAACGCUUGUCGCGUCGACCAUACGACGCACAUCUCUACAUCGACAAUUUCAUGUUUGGGCGUCAUGCUGAAAAGCAAAGGCUCCUCAACUUCUUGUUGGAUCAGAACAAUUCAGCCACUGGUUCACCGCCGCCGGUUCUUUCGGUGAUCGGCGGUCCUUCGGUAGGAAAAAGAACUCUGGUCGCUCAUGUAUGCAGUGACAAGAGAGUUACUUCGCACUUCUCUUUGAUUUUACACUUGAAUGAAGGUGAUCUUUUUAGAGUACAAGAAGAACAUGAAAGCAGGCGAGCGGCGGAGGGCAAGGUCUUGAUAGUUGUGGAGUUUGAUUCAGUAGUGGACGAGGAGGACUGGGUAAAAUUUUAUUCGUCUGUGACAAAUCUGAAGAAAGGGAGCAAGGUGGUGAUCAUCAGCAACCUUAGAAAAUUUGACACAUUUGCAACUGUUAAGCCAAUUUUUCUCAGUACCCUGCCAUAUGCGGAGUUCAGGUACCUCUUCAAGAUACUCGCAUUCGGAAGCACAAACCCCAUGGAACAUCCUCAGCUGUUAAAGAUUGUCGACGAAUUAUCCAAGGAGUUGCAACUGGGGUGGUCACUUGUCACAGCAAAUGCACUUGGAGAAGCCUUGAGAACGAAUCUCGAUGUACGUUUCUGGCUUUGCAUGCUAAACAGGAUUAGGAGAACAUCUGAGAGAAACAUGUCCGUUUUUGGCGCGUAUCCUAGAGCACUCGCUGAACGGGGUGAUCAUGUAGACAUGACAGACCUAGAGUUAACCCCUGGUGCUCCAUUUCACUUCGUGUGGAGUAGAAAAGCCCAUGAUAUCUCAGUGAAGAAGGAACUACCAAAGGUGACAGUUCGAGAACUUAUGGUAGAUCCUACUGCUAGGCCAAAAGGGGAGUUCAUUAUGAUUAUAUGGCAAUCAAGGAUACCCCCUCACACUUGUUUUGGUCACUUUGUUCCAAAUUGUGAUCAGGGUAUGCGUCAGCAUGUUCUCUUGUCAGGGAGGAAACGUCGAGGACUGCCUUUAUAGCGUGCAUCUGGUGUAGUAGGAGUAAUUUUAUUAUGAUUCUGUGAUAUAUUUUUUCCCAUUUCUCCUAUAUUUCAGAUAUCUAAAUUUAAGAAGAUUUUUAGGUAACACUACUCUUGUACUACAAACUAGUACAAGUAAACUGUUAUUUUUUAUUGUUAUUUGUCUUUGUGACAUAAUAACAUAUCAAAUUUUAUCCUUGUCUAACUAUGAAAAUAACUAUAAAUUGCCAACACAUAUCAGAUUUUAUCGGAUUUGUAGUUUUGUCUAAAGGUUUUUUUAUUCUGGGAACAAAAAUUUACUUCAGAAACUACAAUAAACUAAAACUAUAAUUUUAGUAUAAAAAAUAUAUGCAAUAAUCUAUACCUAUCUAUAAAGAGCUAAAAUUUCAGUCUACCUUUUUUUUCUGCCAAUCUCCAGUCCGUUUUGGUAUGGAUGGCAAAGUCCAACACAGAUACGGUAGGGAGACUGCAACGUCCGGUGCAAAUACGGUAGGGAGACUGACCUCCUGCGUUUUUCCAUAUCUAAAAAAACCCGAAGCUAAACCUAGACAUCCCCCGCCGUGUCCGCAUCUGCAUCCGCAACUCCGCAAUCCGACACAGCACCCCACAAGAGAAGAUUCAAAAAUCAAAACAAAUCCAGAAAACAACGGGGGCACGAGACAUGAACCACCUGAGAACCAAGAAGAAAGGAUACACACACACACAUUAUAUAUAUAUAUAUAUAUAUAAAAUCCUCCAAGAUCUUUUUUCCUAUUCUGGUUUAGCAGCCAACGCUUUCUGAGAUCUUGGCCUAAUUUUGCGAGAGUGUAGAGGCAACCGACCUUUGCGAGUUUCCUUGAUUCACCUUUCCCAGACCGCCUGCCUGACCGAAACCAAACCCACCCUUUCCGCACCCAGCCGGCCAGCCAGCCCACGGAGGUCCUCAGCCCACCACCAGCUGGCGACGACCACUCCGCUAGCAGGGCGCCAUCGCG
RNAcentral lists this long non-coding RNA (3100 nucleotides) under Sorghum bicolor (sorghum). RNAcentral's name for it is "long non-coding RNA (SBIC_LNC001562)". Lineage: Eukaryota; Viridiplantae; Streptophyta; Magnoliopsida; Poales; Poaceae. The record is from RNAcentral.